ACGAUACACACAAAGCUUCACACACACAGGCAGAGACCGAGGAGACCGAAGUGGAGCAGCACCAGCUUCUCUAUCAGCAGGCGAGCAUCUCACACACAUCUGAAGGAGGCGUGGACAGUGGCCAGGGUUCCUCUGUUUUCUCCUCAGACUCCCCCCACCUGGGUCAGCUGACCAUGUCGUACAGCUGCACCCCUUCUAGCCAGCCUCCUUCCCAGCCCC
Long non-coding RNA from Pundamilia nyererei, 219 nucleotides. RefSeq lists it as uncharacterized. The transcript is spliced from 3 exons. The record is from RefSeq and is a predicted model, not a curated record. NCBI's taxonomy places the organism in Eukaryota, Metazoa, Chordata, Actinopteri, Cichliformes, Cichlidae.